Molecule: ribosomal RNA, 822 nt
Filed under: uncultured bacterium
Lineage: Bacteria
Description: bacterial SSU rRNA
Rfam family: Bacterial small subunit ribosomal RNA
Source: RNAcentral
UGUGGCCNGAACUGNGGUUGANGUUAAUCACCGUNAUGNNUAACCCUUGCCUCUCUUACUUGUGCGNGUAUACCCCAUGCNCUGGAUAGGAUGGCUGANUNACCGCAUACCCUUGUGGAGUUGCUAUACUUUUUCAAGNAAGAUUUAUCGCUAAGAGAGGGGCCUGCGUAUGAUUAGCUAGUUUGGUGAGGUAACGGCCCACCAAGGCGACGAUCAUUAGCUGGUCUGAGAGGACGAUCAGCCACACUGGAACUGAGACACGGUCCAGACUCCUACGGGAGGCAGCAGUGGGGAAUUUUCCGCAAUGGGCGAAAGCCUGACGGAGCAACGCCGCGUGGGUGAUGAAGUCUUUCGGGACGUUAAACCCUUUCAGCAGGGACGAACACAAUGACNGGUACCUGCAGAAGAAGCAUCGGCUAACUACGUGCCAGCAGCCGCGGUAAUACGUAGGAUGCGAGCGUUGUCCGGAUUUAUUGGGCGUAAAGAGAACGUAGGUGGUUUCUUAAGUUUGGUCUUAAAGACCGGGGCUCAACCCCGGGAAUGGAUCGAAUACUGGGAGACUAGAGGAUGUUAGAGGAAAGUGGAAUUCCAAGUGUAGCGGUGAAAUGCGUAGAUAUUUGGAGGAACACCAGUGGCGAAAGCGGCUUUCUGGGACAUUCCUGACACUGAGGUUCGAAAGCUCGGGGAGCAAACAGGAUUGGAUACCCUGGUAGUCCGAGCCGUAAACGAUGGACACUAGGUGUCACGGGUAUCGACACCCCGUGGUGCCGUAGCUAACGCGUUAAGUGUCCCGCCUGGGGAGUACGGUCGCAAGACUGAAAC